CUGCGGAAGGAUCAUAGUUCAGGAGAGGUCGGUCCUUCGGGGCUCCUCGUCUCACUCUGGAUGCAAUGCAUCUCCGGAUGCUAGUCUUGGCCCCACGGCCUUGACACCCUUUGUAAUCCUUGACACGCUUAUUCGAAAUCCGAGAGAUAUCACAACCAGUAGCGUUGGAUCCCUUGGCACGUCAUUCGAUGAAGACCGUUGCAAAAUGCGAUAAGUGGUGUGAUAUGCAAGUCCAAAACUUAUACGUGAACCAUCGAAUUGUUGAACGCACUGCAUCGAGCCUUACCCAGGAACGAUACGCCCCAUUGAGCGUCAUUAUGUCUUCGUGACCUGUCUUCUUCUUGAGGACCUGUCCGGGUUCGGGAUCCACGGCCUUUGGGUCGCGUUUCCUCAGAUGCAUGGAUGUGCCGGAAUGCACGGUGACCUUGUCAUGAAUGCCGAGGUGGCCUCUGCAACGCCGGUGCCGGAUCCUCUGCCCUGCAUUGGAUCAACUGCAGCCUGCUGCACUCCUAUACAUGACCUCACGGGGGUGGGACGACCCGCUAGACUUAAGCAUAUUAAUCAGCGGAGGAAAAGAAACUAACAAGG
RNAcentral lists this ribosomal RNA (588 nucleotides) under uncultured fungus. Its description in RNAcentral is "eukaryotic LSU rRNA". The stretch from base 154 to 315 matches the Rfam family "5.8S ribosomal RNA". Lineage: Eukaryota; Fungi. The record is from RNAcentral.